CAAUAGCGUAUAUUUAAGUUGUUGCAGUUAAAAAGCUCGUAGUUGGAUUUCGGGUUGGCUUCAGCGGUCUCGCUUUGCGUUUGUACUGCCGCAGCCUUCCUUCUUGCUGGGGACGGUCCUCCGGGCUUCAUUGCUUGGGGUCUGGAAUCCGCGACGUUACUUUGAGUAAAUUAGAGUGUUCAAAGCAAGCCUACGCUCUGAAUAUAAUAGCAUGGGAUAACACGACAGGACUCUGGCCUAUCGUGUUGGUCUGUAGGACCAGAGUAAUGAUUAAGAGGGACAGUCGGGGGCAUUCGUAUUCCGUUGUCAGAGGUGAAAUUCUUGGAUUUACGGAAGACGAACAUCUGCGAAAGCAUUUGCCAAGGAUGUUUUCAUUGA
Molecule: ribosomal RNA, 378 nt
Filed under: uncultured eukaryote
Lineage: Eukaryota
Description: partial 18S ribosomal RNA
Rfam family: Eukaryotic small subunit ribosomal RNA
Source: RNAcentral